Molecule: unclassified non-coding RNA, 185 nt
Filed under: uncultured fungus
Lineage: Eukaryota; Fungi
Description: sequence contains ITS1, 5.8S rRNA gene
Source: RNAcentral
CAGAGUUAGGGUCUUCCAGGCCCGACCUCCAACCCUUUGUCUACCUACUAUUUGUUGCUUCGGCGAGCCCGCCCCUUGGACUAUAGGGGCCGCCGGAGGUGUGAAAACCUCUGGUCCGCGCUCGUCGAUAGCCAUUAUUAAACUCUUUUUAACCAUGUUGUCUAAGUAAAGCACUUAAUAAAUUA